RNAcentral lists this ribosomal RNA (440 nucleotides) under uncultured bacterium. Its description in RNAcentral is "bacterial SSU rRNA". It matches the Rfam family "Bacterial small subunit ribosomal RNA", at positions 338 to 795 of the family's 1533-position model. The record is from RNAcentral.
CCUACGGGAGGCUGCAGUGGGGAAUAUUGCACAAUGGGCGCAAGCCUGAUGCAGCGACGCCGCGUGAGCGAUGAAGGCCUUCGGGUCGUAAAGCUCUGUCCUAAGGGAAGAAUAAUGACGGUACCUUAGGAGGAAGCCCCGGCUAACUACGUGGCAGCAGCCGCGGUAAUACGUAGGGGGCGAGCGUUAUCCGGAAUCACUGGGCGUAAAGGGUGCGAAGGCGGCCCUGCAAGGCAGGAGUUAAAUCCCUCGGCGCAAGCGAGGUCAGCGCUUGAGACUGUAGGGCGUGAGUUGAGGAGAGGGGAGCGGAAUAGGUAGUGGAGGGGGGAAAUGAGUAGAGAUUAGGGGGAACACCAGUGGCGAAGGCGGCUCUCUGGACGGCAACUGACGCUGAGGCACGAAAGGGUGGGGAGCGAACAGGAUUAGAUGCCCCAGUAGUC